Molecule: small nucleolar RNA, 126 nt
Organism: Echinops telfairi (small Madagascar hedgehog)
Lineage: Eukaryota; Metazoa; Chordata; Mammalia; Afrosoricida; Tenrecidae
Source: Ensembl
UGGGAGGCUGAUACAUACAAUGAGCUGAAGUGUGCUGUGCUGCUCUAACCAUCACCAAACCUCCCGAGAGCCUUUUGAUGACUGGGACGAAUUGAGUUACAUCGUCACAGACAGUUAAAAAUAAAA